AUUGAACGCUGGCGGCAUGCCUUACACAUGCAAGUCGAACGGUAACGCGGGGCAACCUGGCGACGAGUGGCGAACGGGUGAGUAAUGUAUCGGAACGUGCCCAGUUGUGGGGGAUAACUGCUCGAAAGAGCAGCUAAUACCGCAUACGACCUGAGGGUGAAAGCGGGGGAUCGCAAGACCUCGCGCAAUUGGAGCGGCCGAUAUCAGAUUAGGUAGUUGGCGGGGUAAAGGCUCACCAAGCCGACGAUCUGUAGCUGGUCUGAGAGGACGACCAGCCAAACUGGGACUGAGACACGGCCCAGACUCCUACGGGAGGCAGCAGCGGGGAAUUUUGGACAAUGGACGCAAGUCUGAUCCAGCCAUGCCGCGUGCGGGAAGAAGGCCUUCGGGUUGUAAACCGCUUUUGUCAGGGAAGAAACGCUCUGGGUUAAUACCUCGGGGUAAUGACGGUACCUGAAGAAUAAGCACCGGCUAACUACGUGCCAGCCGCCGCAGUAA
RNAcentral lists this ribosomal RNA (498 nucleotides) under uncultured bacterium. RNAcentral describes it as "partial 16S ribosomal RNA". It matches the Rfam family "Bacterial small subunit ribosomal RNA", at positions 29 to 523 of the family's 1533-position model. The record is from RNAcentral.